GCGAGCAUGGCCGAGUGGUUUAGGCAACAGUCCUAGGAACUGUGACGAAAGUCAACGCAGGUUCGAAUCCUGCUGCUCGCA
RNAcentral lists this transfer RNA (81 nucleotides) under Tupanvirus deep ocean. RNAcentral describes it as "tRNA-Leu". It matches the Rfam family "tRNA". From Rfam's summary of the family: Transfer RNA (tRNA) molecules are approximately 80 nucleotides in length. Their secondary structure includes four short double-helical elements and three loops (D, anti-codon, and T loops). The record is from RNAcentral. Lineage: Varidnaviria; Bamfordvirae; Nucleocytoviricota; Megaviricetes; Imitervirales; Mimiviridae. RNAcentral also lists the same sequence under 1 other name.